UACGUAGGUGGCAAGCGUUAUCCGGAAUUAUUGGGCGUAAAGAGCGCGCAGGUGGUUGAUUAAGUCUGAUGUGAAAGCCCACGGCUUAACCGUGGAGGGUCAUUGGAAACUGGUCGACUUGAGUGCAGAAGAGGGAAGUGGAAUUCCGUGUGUAGCGGUGAAAUGCGUAGAGAUAUGGAGGAACACCAGUGGCGAAGGCGGCUUCCUGGUCUGUAACUGACACUGAGGCGCGAAAGCGUGGGGAGCGAACAGGAUUAGAUACCCU
Molecule: ribosomal RNA, 265 nt
Filed under: uncultured prokaryote
Description: partial 16S ribosomal RNA
Rfam family: Bacterial small subunit ribosomal RNA
Source: RNAcentral